This 641-nucleotide ribosomal RNA is filed under the name uncultured bacterium. RNAcentral describes it as "bacterial SSU rRNA". The stretch from base 1 to 538 matches the Rfam family "Bacterial small subunit ribosomal RNA", at positions 338 to 873 of the family's 1533-position model. The record is from RNAcentral.
CCUACGGGAGGCAGCAGUAAGGAAUAUUGGUCAAUGGACGAAAGUCUGAACCAGCCAUGCCGCGUGAAGGAUGACGGCCCUCUGGGUUGUAAACUUCUUUUAUCUGGGACGAAAAAAGGGAAUUCUUUCUCACUUGACGGUACCAGAGGAAUAAGCACCGGCUAACUCCGUGCCAGCAGCCGCGGUAAUACGGAGGGUGCAAGCGUUAUCCGGAUUCACUGGGUUUAAAGGGAGCGUAGGUGGGCAGGUAAGUCAGUGGUGAAAUCUCCGGGCUUAACCCGGAAACUGCCAUUGAUACUAUUUGUCUUGAAUUAUCUGGAGGUAAGCGGAAUAUGUCAUGUAGCGGUGAAAUGCUUAGAUAUGACAUAGAACACCCAUUGCGAAGGCAGCUUACUACGGAUAUAUUGACACUGAGGCUCGAAAGCGUGGGGAUCAAACAGGAUUAGAUACCCUGGUAGUCCACGCCCUAAACGAUGGAUACUCGACAUACAGCGAUACACUGUUGGUGUCGUGUAGCGAAGACGAUAGUAGUACCACCGUCGGAAGGUACGACCGCCGUAAGGUUAGUUAAACGUUACGUAAAGUUAGUUAAGUUAGUUACGGCGUUGAGACGNGCCGACGGACGACGACGAGGGAGGAGG